GGGGCUGUAGUAGGUCCCAAGGGUUGGGCUGUUCGCCCAUUAAAGUGGUACGCGAGCUGGGUUCAGAACGUCGGGAGACAGUUCGGUCCCUAUCCGGCGCAGGCGUAGGAAAUUUGAGAAGACCUGUCCUUAGUACGAGAGGACCGGGAUGGACGUACCUCUGGUGUACCAGUUGU
This 176-nucleotide ribosomal RNA is filed under the name Clostridioides difficile. RNAcentral describes it as "partial 23S ribosomal RNA". It matches the Rfam family "Bacterial large subunit ribosomal RNA", at positions 2549 to 2724 of the family's 2925-position model. Lineage: Bacteria; Bacillati; Bacillota; Clostridia; Peptostreptococcales; Peptostreptococcaceae. The record is from RNAcentral.